This 1777-nucleotide long non-coding RNA is filed under the name Citrus maxima (pomelo). RNAcentral's name for it is "long non-coding RNA (CMAX_LNC002676)". Lineage: Eukaryota; Viridiplantae; Streptophyta; Magnoliopsida; Sapindales; Rutaceae. The record is from RNAcentral.
CUUCUGCCUUUGGAUUUAUGUAGACAAAUUGAGGUGCUGUUAAACUCUUUCUGGUGGGGGCGAAAGAACAACAGUACAGAGGCAUAAAUUGGAUGUGUUGGGAUAGACUUUGUAGACCAAAGGCUGCUGGUGGUUUAGGAUUUAAGAAAUUGCAAUUUUUAACUUGGCAAUGCUUGGGAGACAGUGCUGGAGGCUUCUAACGAGACCUAACUCUUUGGUGGCUAGAAUUUUGAAGGCAAAAUAUCACCCAAAUACUAACUUUUCUCAGGCAUCAAUUGGGAAGAAUCCGAGCUACUCUUGGCGUUCUAUUAUGGCUGCACAUGAUUUAGUUCUCAAAGGUAGUCGGAUAAGAAUUGGGAACGGGACUUCCACCCUAAUAAAAAAUGAUCCUUGGCUUCCUGACUUGUCGAAUGGUUUGGUGAGUUCUGACUUGGAUGAUGAUCUUUCAGUGGCUACUGUUAAAACUCUUUUUGUUGAUGGUAGAAGGGAAUUGGAUGUUGACUUGAUUUCCUCAACGUUUAAUGAACGAGAUAGAAAUUUAAUUCUUAAUAUCCCGCUAAGUCAGCGAAAUGAGGAAGAUGUAUGGUACUGGCUGGCGAAUACAAGUGGAGUUUACUCGGUCAAAAGUGCAUAUAGAUUGUUACUUGGUGAAGUUUCUGAUGUUGCCGGCAAUAUGUGGAGAAAAAUCUGGAAGCUUGAGGUUCCUGCUAAAGUGAGAAAUUUCGUUUGGAGAGAAGCUAGCAACGUCCUACCAACAGCAGUCAACCUUCGCUCCAAACAUGUAAGUCUAAAUGAUCUUUGCCUGGUUGGUAACUUUGAUAAAGAAAUUGUUCUUCACCUGCUGGUUGACUGUCCCUUUGCAAGAACCUGUUGGAUUAAAUCAAAAGUGGGCUUCUUUGGUAUCUAUUCAUCAUUCAAGGAUUGGCUUCAAGCUUUGUUUAGGAACUGCACUAAUGAGCAGUGCUGGAUUGCUGUUAUGGUCUGCUGGAAGCUGUGGUGCAACAGGAAUAAUCUGGUUUGGCAGGGGAAAUGCGACACAGCAAAACAGAUUGUUAAUGCAGCUGGUAAUUUGUUGUUUCAAUGGCAGUCAGCUAAAUCCUCUGUGAUUUCUAAUCAAGUCUCAAGUGAUCCAUGUGUUGGUGCUGUUGCUUGGUCUCCUCCUCGAGUGGGCUGGCUUAAAUGUAACACUGAUGCUGCAGUGUUUGCUAACGAGGGAAGAGUUGGGCUGGGCAGUGUUAUCCGUGAUGAAUCUGGAAAAUUUGUUGCUGCUCUCUGUUGUAAUAUCAGGGGAAACUAUUCUCCUCGUGAUGCUGAGGUCCUUAGCAUUCGUGAAGCUCUCUCUUGGCUGAAGUCUAUGAAGUUGUCAAAGGUUAUCGUUGAAACUGAUUGCCUUCAAGCGUUUAAUGCUCUAGUCGAUCGAAAGUGUCCUCUAAAUAGCUUUGGCUCAUUAGUUUUGGAUUGCAAAUGUAUUGCUGAUUCUAUAGGUGAUAUUGCUUUCUCUUUCGUCAGAAGAUCUGCGAAUUCUGCUUCUCACUUUGUUGCUAGAGCGGGGAAUUCUUUGCCAGGUCGUGAAGUGUGGCGUUCUGUGCCACCUUCUUGGUUAAUUUCAGUGCUGUAAUUGCUGGUUUUGUUAAUGAAAUUGCACUUUCCAUCAAAAAAAAAAAAAAUAUUGUAAUAAGAAAAUUGUUCUCUUAAGAACUCGCACUAGAAUAUUCAUAACUUAAAGAAUUUCGUUGAAAGACAAAAUUAAACUAAAAGUAAAGAAUUAUAAUCCAAC